GGAGAAACCUAAUCCGAAUGCACUGAAAGAGUUCUAAUUAGACAUUUCAUGGGCCUCUGAGGCUCCCUGAGGAAAGUAAGAGAGAAGGUCAAAACACAUGUCCCUCUUGGAAUGGGGGCCUGAGUCCAUGCUGCAGGGAGCUGGCUGUGGAGAGUGAAGCCCUUUCAGAGGUCAGCACCCACUGACCUGAGCCACUGAUCAUUGCAUGAUGACGUGAACUCAACAUAAAAUGUGGGGAGUGGGAGUUUCUUCUGAGAACAGUUCCUGUGAUGUCUGGCAAUAGGAGCGUUGACUGGAACAUGUGGAUAUACCUUUUCCACCAUGAAACAUUUGAAAAACUCCAAAGUUUGGACUCAGCAUGGCUCUGGGCAGCGCCACUCAGUGCCAUCAAGGAACCAUGCACCUGAAGUUUGGAACCCAGCUGAGUAUGCAAUACAGAGGAGGAGAAGACUGCAGUGGGGUUUUGUAAGGUGCUCCCAGCACAGCGUGCAUCCGUUCCUUAACUCUGUAAAGCAAAUGUGGAAACCACUCACAGUUUUCUAGCUUCCUUACCCUUUAUUCAACUCCCCUAAGUGCUGAGGCCUAAUUGCUGACCCAUCUGGCCUCUGGCCUGAUUUCCAGUGGAUAUCUGGCCAGUGGUGGCUAGGUCCAGCAUUUCCUCCUUCACGAUAGCCAAAUCAUCCAGGGCAAUCUCUUGGCAGCAAAGGAGGCUAGAGAAGUUGCUUUUUCAGCAGGUCAAAUCAAAAGCAUACGGGGAGAGGAAGUUCAGGGCUAAGAGGCUUGCUGAUUCUCCAUGACUUAUUUUCCUCUGGGAGGCUGGAUCCCAUCCAGAACUGCACACCUCCCAGAAACUAUGCUUUCUGACUUUGUGUCUCUGUAAAUGACUCUUUCCUGAUUGAAUUGAUAACCAACUUACGAGUCUAAAAUCACAGUAUGAAAUAAACUGAAAAAAUCUACAGACAAU
This 964-nucleotide long non-coding RNA is filed under the name Homo sapiens (human). Its description in RNAcentral is "HSALNT0146006". Lineage: Eukaryota; Metazoa; Chordata; Mammalia; Primates; Hominidae. The record is from RNAcentral.